Molecule: microRNA precursor, 66 nt
Filed under: Drosophila simulans
Lineage: Eukaryota; Metazoa; Arthropoda; Insecta; Diptera; Drosophilidae
Description: Dsi-Mir-982-P1_pre stem-loop
Source: RNAcentral
UCAUUAACAAGUAUCAUGUAAAUUGAAUUUUUGUAUAUAUCAAUUACAUGUUAUUCGUUCUUGAAC